AACGAACGCUGGCAGCAUGCCUAACACAUGCCAGUCGAACGAGACCUUCGGGUCUAGUGGCGCACGGGUGCGUAACGCGUGGGAACCUGCCCUUAGGUUCGGAAUAACUCCCCGAAAGGGGUGCUAAUACCGGAUAAUGUCUUCGGACCAAAGAUUUAUCGCCUUUGGAUGGGCCCGCGUUGGGUUAGCUAGUUGGUAGGGUAAAAGCCUACCAAGGCGACGAUCCAUAGCUGGUCUGAGAGGAUGAUCAGCCACACUGGGACUGAGACACGGCCCAGACUCCUACGGGAGGCAGCAGUGGGGAAUAUUGGACAAUGGGCGAAAGCCUGAUCCAGCAAUGCCGCGUGAGUGAUGAAGGCCUUAGGGUUGUAAAGCUCUUUUACCCGGGAUGAUAAUGACAGUACCGGGAGAAUAAGCUCCGGCUAACUCCGUG
RNAcentral lists this ribosomal RNA (433 nucleotides) under uncultured bacterium. RNAcentral describes it as "partial 16S ribosomal RNA". It matches the Rfam family "Bacterial small subunit ribosomal RNA", at positions 29 to 507 of the family's 1533-position model. The record is from RNAcentral.